AAACCCUGAAGCAGCAACGCCGCGUGGAGGAUGAAGGUUUUAGGAUUGUAAACUCCUUUUGUUAGAGAAGAUAAUGACGGUAUCUAACGAAUAAGCACCGGCUAACUCCGUGCCAGCAGCCGCGGUAAUACGGAGGGUGCAAGCGUUACUCGGAAUCACUGGGCGUAAAGAGCGCGUAGGCGGGAUAGUCAGUCAGGUGUGAAAUCCUAUGGCUUAACCAUAGAACUGCAUUUGAAACUACUAUUCUAGAGUGUGGGAGAGGUAGGUGGAAUUCUUGGUGUAGGGGUAAAAUCCGUAGAGAUCAAGAGGAAUACUCAUUGCGAAGGCGACCUGCUGGAACAUUACUGACGCUGAUUGCGCGAAAGCGUGGGGAGCAAACAGGAUUAGAUACCCUGGUAGUCCACGCCCUAAACGAUGGAUGCUAGUUGUUGGAGGGCUUAGUCUCUCCAGUAAUGCAGCUAACGCAUUAAGCAUCCCGCCUGGGGAGUACGGUCGCAAGAUUAAAACUCAAAGGAAUAGACGGGGACCCGCACAAGCGGUGGAGCAUGUGGUUUAAUUCGAAGAUACACGAAGAACCUUACCUAGGCUUGACAUUGAGAGAAUUCGCUAGAAAUAGUGGAGUGUCUGGCUUGCUAGACCUUGAAAACAGGUGCUGCACGGCUGUCGUCAGCUCGUGUCGUGAGAUGUUGGGUUAAGUCCCGCAACGAGCGCAACCCCCUUUCUUAGUUGCUAACAGGUCAUGCUGAGAACUCUAAGGAUACUGCCUCCGUAAGGAGGAGGAAGGUGGGGACGACGUCAAGUCAUCAUGGCCCUUACGCCUAGGGCUACACACGUGCUACAAUGGGGUGCACAAAGAGAAGCAAUACUGCGAAGUGGAGCCAAUCUUCAAAACGCCUCUCAGUUCGGAUUGUAGGCUGCAACUCGCCUGCAUGAAGCUGGAAUCGCUAGUAAUCGCAAAUCAGCCAUGUUGCGGUGAAUACGUUCCCGGGUCUUGUACUCACCGCCCGUCACACCAUGGGAGUUGUGUUUGCCUUAAGUCAGGAUGCUAAAUUGGCUACUGCCCACGGCACACACAGCGACUGGGGUGAAGUCGUAACAAGGUAACCGUAGGUGAACCUGCGGUUGGAUCACCU
This 1133-nucleotide ribosomal RNA is filed under the name Helicobacter pylori GAM268Bii. RNAcentral describes it as "bacterial SSU rRNA". It matches the Rfam family "Bacterial small subunit ribosomal RNA", at positions 378 to 1528 of the family's 1533-position model. The record is from RNAcentral. Lineage: Bacteria; Pseudomonadati; Campylobacterota; Epsilonproteobacteria; Campylobacterales; Helicobacteraceae.